GCCUUCGUGGUGUAGUGAUCAGCACACUCAGCGCGUAUUCGAGAGGUCCUUGGUUCGAGUCCCGGCGAAAGCA
Molecule: non-coding RNA, 73 nt
Organism: Stegodyphus mimosarum
Lineage: Eukaryota; Metazoa; Arthropoda; Arachnida; Araneae; Eresidae
Source: Rfam